GACGAACGCUGGCGGCGGGCUUAACACAUGCAAGUCGAACGAACAGAUCGCGAAACUUCGGUUCUGCGUAAUGUUAGUGGCGAACGGGUGAGUAACACGUAGGUAACCUGCCCUCGAGAGUGGGAUAACCAUUGGAAACGAUGGCUAAUACCGCAUAUUGUCUCGACAACACCUGUUGUUGAGAUGAAAUAUUCCGGUGCUCGGGGAUGGGCCUGCGGUGGAUUAGGAAGUUGGUGAGGUAACGGCUCACCAAUCCUGCGAUCCAUAGCUGGUCUGAGAGGAUGAUCAGCCACACUGGCACUGAGACACGGGCCAGACUCCUACGGGAGGCAGCAGUGAGGAAUAUUGGGCAAUGGGCGAAAGCCUGACCCAGCCACGCCGCGUGCAGGAUGACACCCCUACGGGGCGUAAACUGCUUUUAUAUGAGAAGAACAGCCUGGAUUCGUCCGGGUUUGACGGUAUCAUACGAAUAAGGACCGGCUAACUCCG
RNAcentral lists this ribosomal RNA (489 nucleotides) under uncultured Rhodothermaceae bacterium. RNAcentral describes it as "bacterial SSU rRNA". It matches the Rfam family "Bacterial small subunit ribosomal RNA", at positions 28 to 505 of the family's 1533-position model. Lineage: Bacteria; Pseudomonadati; Rhodothermota; Rhodothermia; Rhodothermales; Rhodothermaceae. The record is from RNAcentral.